UACGUAGGGGGCAAGCGUUGUCCGGAAUUAUUGGGCGUAAAGCGCGCGCAGGCGGCCUCCUAAGUCCGAUGUGAAAGCCCACGGCUCAACCGUGGAGGGUCAUUGGAAACUGGGGGACUUGAGUGCAGGAGAGAAGAGUGGAAUUCCACGUGUAGCGGUGAAAUGCGUAGAGAUGUGGAGGAACACCAGUGGCGAAGGCGGCGCUCUGGGCUGGAACUGACGCUGAGGAGCGAAAGCGUGGGUAGCAAACAGG
Molecule: ribosomal RNA, 253 nt
Filed under: uncultured bacterium
Lineage: Bacteria
Description: partial 16S ribosomal RNA
Rfam family: Bacterial small subunit ribosomal RNA
Source: RNAcentral